This is a long non-coding RNA of Bombus pyrosoma, 437 nucleotides long. RefSeq lists it as uncharacterized. The record is from RefSeq and is a predicted model, not a curated record. The transcript is spliced from 2 exons. Lineage: Eukaryota; Metazoa; Arthropoda; Insecta; Hymenoptera; Apidae.
GCUAGGAAGUUUAGGAAGAUUCGUUAUUUAAUUCAGUUUACGCGGAAAAGAUAUGUUACCUUUUGAAAUAUUUUAUUUUAUACGUGGUAUAUGAAUUAUAAUUUAAUUAAAAUUUGAUAAAUUUAAAGGUGAUAUAAAGAAAUGCAGCAGAUAAAAGGUGAUAUACUAAUCGUAAUUGUUUUACCUUGACUUUGAGCGUCAAAAUUUUCUGUGGGUUCUGCAGGUGCUGACGUGGAUGUGGAGAUUUCGUCAUUUUUCUUCGUAGAUAAUAAUUACCUGUGCAAUAAUGGAAGCUACUUUUUCUUUAUCUAUUGCUGUAUGGAUUCGUUUAUUUUUCAAGUGAUGUGGAGUAUCUCUACGAUGGAGUCUAUUUGGUCUAUUUGAAUCACCACUACCAUCAUAAUCAAUACCUUCUACAAUAGAAAAUUCGACAUGUC